Molecule: non-coding RNA, 759 nt
Organism: Pelobates cultripes (western spadefoot toad)
Lineage: Eukaryota; Metazoa; Chordata; Amphibia; Anura; Pelobatidae
Source: the annotation of a GenBank genome assembly
GUUAAUCUGUCUCGCUCAUUCCCAUGGACUAUUUCACCAUCUUCGUCAUUAGGGGUACUAAUGGGUGGAGUCAGUCUACGUGCAAUGUACGUUGGCAGCCAUAUUUUAAACAAUCUGUUCCUUUGUUCGUCAUUUAGGCUGUAUUUGUCCAAAUUAGACUCAAACAUUUCAGCAUUAGUAAAUGCAUCCACUGACGUGUCAUAAACUGGAAUACAUUUCACAAUUUUCAUUAAUUGUUCAUGUAUUUUCAAAUUAAGUUUUGCAGUUCUGUCUUGAAAUUUACAUUUCUGCAAAUUACUCUGUGAGGAUACAUUUUCAGUAUCUAUUGGUUCUGGGAUUAGAUUCUGUGACUUUAUUUUUCUUGUAUUAACACACACUAGUUUAGCUUCAUUUCUAAACUGGCAAAUAAGAUCAUUUCUUAGUUCAACUCUAUCCUCUAAUUCACAGACUGUUUCUGACAAUGUUCUCUCUGUUACAUUGUUACACUGUUCAUUUAAAUCUGAUUUGUCUUCUGUUAACCCAUUCAAAUCUAUUUCUUUAUCUGCUGAUUCUAAAUUUUCUUGACCUGCAUCUCGUUUACAAAUCAAUGCAUUGUAAGUACAGACUAGUUUCAUAACAUUUCUGAUCUUUUGUUUUUUCUUAUUAACAAACAAUUUCUUGGCAAUUUCACAUUGUGUGUAUAAAGAUUGCCACAAUACAGCAUCUGAAUAGCUGCUAUUACAUGCAAACUGCAAUUUACUUUUCUCUGCAAUAUCAUUU